GGACCAACACAGAGCAACCAUCCUACAGCGUAUCUCCUCUUCCCUGGUACCUCCUCUCUCUCUCACACACACACACACACACACACACACACACACACACACACACACACACACACUCACACACACACACACACACACACACUCCUGAAGUUGGCAUGAACACCACAACCGGAUGACCACAGCGGGCCAGGCUCAACCUCAGACAAACCAAAGCAGGACCUGUAAAAAGCAAGCCACCCAUCACUCACCAGCCAUGACCAGCUCAGCCCAGCCCAACCCGGCCGGGCCCAACCCAGAGAGAUGAUCUGUUCAGCAUGGAUGCCCAGGCCUUCUUUUUCACCAACUGUGUGCCAUUGAUAAGUCAUAAAUGUGCUGUGAACAUGUUUAUAAAUGUUAAAGACAUUAAAGGAGAGGGGUGGAGGGGGAGGAGGGUUCUCUAGCAUCCAAUGCCCAGGGCAGGGUGCUUGUGCAGUAAGCUGGUCUGCCUUAAAAUGAAAACAUGUCACACACACACGCACCCAUACACACACACACGCAUACACACACACACACGCAUACACACACAUACACACACCCUCACACACACACACACACACAUACACACAUACACACUCAAAAGCCAAUGCUGAAGAGGAAAAACAUGAUUGACAGCCACCCUUUCGCUCACUCUUCGCUCAACCUUAAAGCCUGUUAUUUGGAACUUCCUGUUUCCCUAACUGCACAGAUGUAUGAUAAUGUAUUUGUUUUUUUUUUCUCUCUCUAUGGAGUUUUGCUCUUCUCGGGGAACUUUCCCUUUCCCUCCCUAUGUUACCAUAGCAGAACACUCCCCUGUCCACAAUGCAUCACACAGUUGCAUCGCUGCGUUUCUGGGGCCAUGGCAAGCUCCUGGUUGAUUUUUGAGAGGGGGCGACAUGGGGGUCAGGUUUCCUCCCUGGCAUUUAUGGAAACCCGUGAAGCGUCCAUCCACAGAGCAGUUCACAACGGGGGGAACAUCCCUGCCUGCCUCACCUGCGGACCGGCCUCACUGCACUCUUCACCUGCUCUCCCCCUCUUCCUGAGAUUUAUAGAUAUCCACACACACAUACACACACACAACACACACACACACACACACACACACACACACACACACACACAUCUCCCGAGGAGCCUGGAGGAAUGCCAUGGCAGGAACAGGGCAGCAACAGGUGGUUCUCCUGAAAAAAAAGCUUCAAGCUUCAUCUGGAAUGACAUCUGUGUUUCUUAUCCAGUGUCUUCAGAGAUGCUGAGGAGAUCUUCCUUUGGUCCUUUGGUUACUCAGCAGUGAAUGCAACGAAACCUCCAAAAAGGUUGUGGCUCUGUUUUUAUUUAUUUAUUUAUUUGAGAGGACGAUGCGCUCACAUGUCAAGUGCUCUGAUGUCUGAUGGCUGUGUCUCAGACGUCUGUGAAGCCUUUUUUUAAAUGCACAGAAUGCCAGACUGGAGCAGACAUCGGAACAGGAAGCAUCUUCCUGACCUCGUGGGAAUGCCGGGGAUUUUUUUGCCAUCAUUUGGGCUGAUUGCCGGAGAGAUCUGACGUGGCGUAAUGUCAUGGACAUUGCAACGGCGGUCUGGUGGAAUGGUUAUAAAGUUAAGAUGGCAGAACAGUCCCAGACGUUCCCAAGAAUACUCCUCUCCUGUAGUGCCUCUGAAAGAAGUGGCCCACAGAGGUGUGCGUGUGUGCGUGUGUGCGUGUGUGUGUGUGUGUGUGUGUUAAUGCUCAGUUGUCUAAACGGACCCUGUAAAAAUAGUUCCAAGACUUCCCUUUAAAAAAAAAAAAAAAAAAGGUCCUCUGUUCCGUUUUCUCUUUCACAGAGAUAGCAAGACCAUUACAUUUUCCAGCUACUUUUCAGGAGUCCAGACAAGUCUGAUUGAACAAUCUGCUGAAUAGAAGUUGCCACACAUGGCAGGAUUCAUCUCUGAGUUUUUCACUUGUGUAAUAUUUUUUUUCUGGCAUCUUUCUAACUACUCCUGGGUCAGAAAAGAAGAAACAAACCUAGCUCAUAACAUGGGGAGAGAACGCAUGUUUAGUACCUUUCUUGGUUAUGAGAAUUGCACCAAGAGUAGCGACACAGGGGAGCCUUGAGAUGACCCUUGACCUUCUACACACAGGAAGUGAUGUUCUGCUUUCCGGUACUUGAAGUAUGAGUCUUCUUGUGAACUGAAAAAAGCUAUUGUUCCAGUUUAGUGCCAAAUGAAUGUUUACUGAAAACAGAUUGAGAUUGAUGUUAUGAGAUGUGAUGUGAAUGAUUAAGGAGUCUGUUUUCGUCAGAUCGCCUCCUGAUUCUUGUUUACCCCCCUUCUUUCAAGGUUCUUCGAGUUGUGUAUUCCCCCCCCCCCCCCCAAAAAAAAAAACUCCUUCAGGAAUGCUCUCUUUUCUGUGUGCAAGACUUGCUGUAUGUGAUUGCACUGUGAAUGAAUACAUAUGUCUUUUACUUCUCUACUUUUCAUUUAACUGUAAUAUUUGUACUUUUGUAAGAGUCUUCUGCCAUAUUCCCAAUGCUCUUCUUUUUAUCCAUGGUGUUUUAUAUAUGUCACACAAUUUUAAUGUUUCUAAUGAUUGGAUUGCACCAUUUUCUUGUUUUUGUUUAGUUGAAUGGUGUGUGUGUGUGUGUGUGUAUUUGUGUGUGUGUGUGUGUGUGUGUGUGUGUGUGUGUGUGUGUGUGUGUGUGUGUGUGUGCGCAUCUGUAUGUGUGUCCUUAAAUACACUUCUAUCACAUACUUUAGGGUUUCUCAGGCUUAUGGUAAAGCUUCAUAGUCAACAUGAAGGUAGAAUGCAAUCAUGGUUUGAAUAAUGUCUGAACAUGAUUAUUACAUGCAACAACCUAUGUCCAGAAUGUACCAAGUCCUUUGAUAAGUAGAUCAAGAGUAUGCGUGUGUUUGUGUGUGUGUCUGUGUGUGUGUGUGAACUGUACAUGUGUAUGUAUGUGUUUCAAGUAAAGCUGAUGUUGAUUAGACCUCUCAUCUUAUACAUGUAUCUUGACUUAGUACUGCAUAAUAAUUUAGACAUUCAUUGAGUGUUAACAUUCACUAUUUUAAAUGAUAUAUUUUAUACCAGAGACUUCCUAAAUUUCCAUUAGAAAAAUAUUCACGUGACAUUUGCUUCUCUCUACAUGUUAUAUAGAUGGUACGGUUUAUUUUCAGCUGAGCUUGCUUGGCAUGUUUACAUUAACUAUGAUAUUUAAAAUUAUUAUGUCUUUUCAUUUCUCUUAUGCCUUGAAUGUUUAUGUGUAUGUGCAAUAAAAAUAAGAAUUAGACAACAUUUGGCUAAUGCAAAAUGAAAUAACAUUGUUCACAUUACUAUAUAUUUUACAGCACUUGCUAGAUUGCCUAAACAUCAUUUAUAUUAUUACUUAUAUUACAUCAUUUGUGUUUUAAGCAUAAUUAUCUCAUGUUAAAGGAAAUUAUUGUCCAUCACAGUAAGAUGCAUUAACAUCGUCAGAAUAUUCUAUUUUUUCUGUACAAAUAUUCCAGUAAUAAGUAUCCCAUUUCAUGGGAAAUCAUCAGAAAUGCAGUGAAGUGAUUGCACUUGGCACGUGUCCUGGUUGUAGGUUGAUACCCCCAUGAAUCCCCCAAGCUUGCUUUUUCAAAAUGUAUUUCUUACAACAACAAAAAAAAUGAUAUAUAUAUACGUAUAUAUAUAUAUAUAAAUGUAUACUGUAUAUAUACACAUAGUGUAUAUGUGUGUGUGUGGAUGUGUGUCUUUUUGCAGGCAAGCUUAAGGUGAUAAGUCUUAAGGCAAGGGCAGCAUUGUUUGCUGUGUGUAUGUUUGUGUGUGUGUAUGUAUUUAAUGUUGUAUAUGUAUGUGUGGAUAUUGUAUGUGUGUACGUGUGCUUGAUAAAAGAUGGAGUGUUCAUGCCAACUUCAGGAGUGUGUGAGUGUGUGUGUGUGUGUGUGUGUGUGUGUGUGUGUGUGUAUUUGUGCGGCAUGUUCAGGCUCUUAUUAUUUAUACUAUACAGUUUAAAGUGGACUUUCAUCCUGCCCCUGAACUGGACUGGGGUCAUGUAUCACUAUCCUCUGUUAUUUCAUGGAGAUGUUUGUGCAACUGACAGGUCUGCAAGAAACAAACAUUGGUCUUGAAGAGAUUUUCUGAAACAUUGUGCUUGUCUCUGCUCAUUCAAUAAAGGUUUGCUUUUCUUUUGUUCACCAA
This is a long non-coding RNA of Clupea harengus (Atlantic herring), 4167 nucleotides long. The record is from Ensembl. Lineage: Eukaryota; Metazoa; Chordata; Actinopteri; Clupeiformes; Clupeidae.